RNAcentral lists this small nuclear RNA (109 nucleotides) under Triticum dicoccoides. Lineage: Eukaryota; Viridiplantae; Streptophyta; Magnoliopsida; Poales; Poaceae. The record is from RNAcentral.
AGUAGCUACUGCUAAUCCCCGGUCAAAUCGAAAAAAAAAACACUGACAAGAUUAGCAUCACCCCUGCGCAAGGAUGGCGCGCACAGAAAAAUAUAAAGACUUAAAUUUU